RNAcentral lists this long non-coding RNA (1492 nucleotides) under Anolis carolinensis (green anole). RNAcentral's name for it is "lncRNA (ENSACAG00000039649.1)". Lineage: Eukaryota; Metazoa; Chordata; Lepidosauria; Squamata; Anolidae. The record is from RNAcentral.
GAGUAUGAAAACGGAGAUAAAAUGAGUGAAAGCUAAGGUGUGAUAACAUCCUUUGCCAUAUGAAGUUAAGAAAUAGUGGCAGCUGGUGGCUUCCUUCUCAGUGGGAAAGUAACUGCUCUGGUUUUAGUCUAGACUUUAAAGUAACUACACCGCAUACUGGAUCCAAUACCCCAAAUAGGUUCAGUACUUUAGUGAACUUCUUUAAAGUUCAGACUGAAUCCCAAAGCCAAUUCACCACCUCACUGACAUAGAAACCACCACUAGAAAUUCUGUAUAUUUUAAGGACUUUUAGCAUAGUAGGAACAGAAGCAAAGAAACAUUGGAUGGGAGUCAAAAUCCCCUAAACAAACACAGGUCCAUCUUCCUAAAGGACACAUGAGCAUACCACCCAUAGACAGAGCCAGACAGUGUACUAUCCACAAAUGACUUGCACAGAGACCUACAGUUCAGAUAUCAUCCAUUGUUUUAAAAAGAAAGAAAACAUUCCAAGGGACUUAAUUAUUCUUUCCUUUGCUAAAAAGCUUUUCAAGGAAAACUCACAGUGGUGCUUUUUCAUGUUGUGCAUGUAGCAUUCUUCCUGCACAGAUUGUGUUUACAAAACGGUUGUGUGGAUCAGUUAUUAGGAGGACAUGGCACUUGUGAUGUGGUUUUCUUAAUGCAACACACAUCUUGAUGUUCGGCAACUAUUGGAGCUUUGUUACAACCGCAUUCAAUCCUUAUAAAGAGAGAUGGUUGAAGGGAAAGGGAUGACAGAUGGAAGGACAUUCAAGUUGUUGGCCAGGAGAUGGCCCAUAAAUGCUCAGUCAGGUACUAUCCAGCCCCCUCCUACCUAAAACAGUCUCUCUCUAUACCUACAGCUGGAGGAAAAGUGGAUUUUGAUGACUUUGUGGAGCUGAUGGGUCCCAAGAUGCUGGCAGAGACUGCAGACAUGAUUGGGAUGAAAGAACUACGGGAUGCCUUCCGUGAGGCUUUCUAAGGAAUACUCAGAGGUGGUUUAGCCUUCCUCUGAAAUAUAGCCUACAGCAUCUGGGAUCUGUUGGUGAUAUGCCAUCCAAAUACAUAUCACUUAGAUCCUCUGGGUGGCAUUUACUCCAGCCUGCCAGAACUCUACUGGCAACUGUCAUCCAGAGGACCUUUUCAUCGGCUGCCUCGAGACUGUGAAAUGACCUGCUGGAAGAGCUCCAACAGCUAGCAAAGCAGCAGCCAGAAUUUAAAACACAACUUAAGAACUAUCUCUUACAGCAGGCCUACUCAGUCAAUUUUAACUUGUGAAUUGUAACCUGCAUUUUAUCAGUAAAUUUUAAUCUGCAUGUUGUGUGUAUAUUUGUUAUAUCUCUUUUAAUAGUGUUCUGUUUAUUUCAUUAUUUUAAUCAUGUUGUACCCGGCUUGAGCCGCGAGGAGAGGCAGGGAAUAAUUACAUCAUCAUCAUCAUCAUCAUCAUCAUCAUCAUCAUCAUCAUCAGGGUUAACCCUUCUUAACGUCUAAGAUCAGA